AUUGAACGCUGGCGGCAUGCUUUACACAUGCCAGUCGAACGGCAGCGCGGGCUUCGGCCUGGCGGCGAGUGGCGAACGGGUGAGUAAUACAUCGGAACGUGCCCAGUAGUGGGGGAUAGCUCGGCGAAAGCCGGAUUAAUACCGCAUACGACCUGAGGGUGAAAGCGGGGGAUCUUCGGACCUCGCGCUAUUGGAGCGGCCGAUGGCAGAUUAGCUAGUUGGUGGGGUAAAGGCCUACCAAGGCGACGAUCUGUAGCUGGUCUGAGAGGACGACCAGCCACACUGGGACUGAGACACGGCCCAGACUCCUACGGGAGGCAGCAGUGGGGAACUUUGGACAAUGGGCGAAAGCCUGAUCCAGCAAUGCCGCGUGUGUGAUGAAGGCCUUUGGGUUGUAAAGCACUUUUGGCGGGAACGAAAAGGACUGUGCCAAUACCACGGUUCGAUGACGGUACCCGCAGAAUAAGCACCGGCUAACUACGUG
RNAcentral lists this ribosomal RNA (484 nucleotides) under uncultured bacterium. RNAcentral describes it as "partial 16S ribosomal RNA". It matches the Rfam family "Bacterial small subunit ribosomal RNA", at positions 29 to 507 of the family's 1533-position model. The record is from RNAcentral.